UACGGAGGGUGCGAGCGUUGUCCGGAAUCAUUGGGCGUAAAGGGCGCGUAGGUGGCCCGGUCAGUUCGUGGUGAAAGCGCGGGGACUCAACCCUGCGUCGGCCAUGAAUACUGCCGCGGCUGGAGCACUGUAGAGGCAGGCGGAAUUCCGGGUGUAGCGGUGGAAUGCGUAGAGAUCCGGAAGAACACCGGUGGCCGAAGGCGGCCUGAC
This 210-nucleotide ribosomal RNA is filed under the name uncultured bacterium. RNAcentral describes it as "partial 16S ribosomal RNA". It matches the Rfam family "Bacterial small subunit ribosomal RNA", at positions 524 to 730 of the family's 1533-position model. The record is from RNAcentral.